RNAcentral lists this ribosomal RNA (449 nucleotides) under uncultured bacterium. RNAcentral's name for it is "partial 16S ribosomal RNA". It matches the Rfam family "Bacterial small subunit ribosomal RNA", at positions 29 to 523 of the family's 1533-position model. The record is from RNAcentral.
AACGAACGCUGGCGGCAUGCCUAACACAUGCAAGUCGAACGAGAUCUUCGGGUCUAGUGGCGCACGGGUGCGUAACGCGUGGGAAUCUGCCCUUUGGUUCGGAAUAACAGUUGGAAACGACUGCUAAUACCGGAUGAUGACGAAAGUCCAAAGAUUUAUCGCCAGAGGAUGAGCCCGCGUAGGAUUAGCUAGUUGGUGUGGUAAAGGCGCACCAAGGCGACGAUCCUUAGCUGGUCUGAGAGGAUGAUCAGCCACACUGGGACUGCGACACGGCCCAGACUCCUACGGGGGGCAGAAGUGGGGAAUAUUGGACAAUGGGCGAAAGCCUGAUCCAGCAAUGCCGCGUGAGUGAUGAAGGCCUUAGGGUUGUAAAGCUAGUUUACCCGGGAUGAUAAUGACAGUACCGGGAGAAUAAGCUCCGGCUAACUCCGUGCCAGCCGCCGCCGUAA